Molecule: long non-coding RNA, 383 nt
Organism: Diachasmimorpha longicaudata
Lineage: Eukaryota; Metazoa; Arthropoda; Insecta; Hymenoptera; Braconidae
Exons: 3
Source: RefSeq, a predicted model, not a curated record
GGCAAUUUUACAGUACAGGGGAUCGUGCCAGAGCUACUCGGAGAAUUCAGCACAAUUUUUAGACCCUUAAGAAUAUGCCCUUAAAAGGAUUUUUCAAAACUCGAAUUAUUUGCGGACAUCCAGAAGAUUUCUUGACGCGUCAUCGCAACGAAGCUCGAAGUGAUCGCUCUGAAUUGCGAGCUUCUGCUGCUUCAAAAGAAGGCAGAACAGCUCAGCUAGCAAAAAGAAAUUCUGCAAACAUCCCAUAUGAAGUAGAGGAAGGCCUAAUGUAUGGAGCUAGGAUCGUCGAUUAGUCUAAAAUCACUAAAAGGGGUGGAAUCAUGUCAACCAGGGUGCACCGUUUUUUUUGAAGCCCCCACGUCACCGGCCUGUAAUUUCGCGAA